UAUGUGGCUCAGUGGCAGAGCGCUUGCCUCGCACGCAUGAAGCACUGGGUUUGAUCCUCAGCACCACAUAA
This 71-nucleotide transfer RNA is filed under the name Marmota monax (woodchuck). Its description in RNAcentral is "tRNA.Ala". The stretch from base 3 to 63 matches the Rfam family "tRNA", at positions 6 to 65 of the family's 71-position model. Rfam says of the family: Transfer RNA (tRNA) molecules are approximately 80 nucleotides in length. Their secondary structure includes four short double-helical elements and three loops (D, anti-codon, and T loops). Lineage: Eukaryota; Metazoa; Chordata; Mammalia; Rodentia; Sciuridae. The record is from RNAcentral.